GUUUUGAGUUGAAGUUCAGCAGUACGUCUGUCUGUAUUCACUCUAUUUUUCACGGCUCGCAGGAAAAGUUCCUCAUAUCUAAACAACACCUAUCUGGAUUGGGUACGACAGCUGACGGUGAUAGAUAGCUGGGUCCAGGAUAGGCCUCCUGAGGAGUUAUGUGCUGGCCCGGGACAAGGAGCCAGGUGCCUCCUCCUCGGACCCUCCACCUGUCGCUAAAGUGCUUGAGCGCUGAGGUCGACUCUCCCUGUACUGCACGUACAGGGACGCCCCACCAGCAGUGGUCCCCUCUUCCUGUCUCUCCUCCUCUCAGCAACCACUUCAG
Long non-coding RNA from Alosa alosa (allis shad), 325 nucleotides. RefSeq lists it as uncharacterized. NCBI's taxonomy places the organism in Eukaryota, Metazoa, Chordata, Actinopteri, Clupeiformes, Clupeidae. The record is from RefSeq and is a predicted model, not a curated record. The transcript is spliced from 3 exons.